UCCAAACUUCGGGCUUGUGACAACGUGAAGAUAUAUGUCAACUUGUUGCACCUUUGCAAAUUCAAUUCUGUGAGAGUUUGGAGGCUGAUCACAUGUUGGGCGGGCGUCUUCCAUAUCCACUUCAGUUCUGGUAAUUCCUGCAUAAAUAACUCUGCUAAUCUUGAGAGCACCACAGGAUUCCCACUCUUUCCAUGUGGCAACUUAGAGGCGCCCAUUAUGCAUUCUAAAUCCUCACAUUGUUUGACAAAUAGACGAGUCAACUCAUUUAAGCCCCUUUCAUCUAUGCUUGGCACAAUAUUAUGACAACCUAUUAACCCCCUCAAACGAAGAAAUUUCAGAUUUUGAUACAAUGCUGAAAAAAUAACGAGCGAGGUCGCUUCAUGAGGGUAAUUCUCAAUGAUUAAGCUCCUUGUUUCAUCACCAUGUUCCAUGUCAUGAGCAGAUAAUUGACCAUUACUGAUGACGUACCUUUGCAUUUUCGGGAAUGUAAAGUCUUUUGGAAGACAUAUAACUUGGGAGUUCAACUCAGCAAGCCUAGCAUUACUUUCUUCUGAACUCAUCCCUUCAACCUCCCAAUUUUUUAUCCGACCAUAAAAUUCUUCCAAUUGAGGAAAUUUUUUUAUCCCAAUGGGAGAAACAGAACCGGUAUCAAUAUAUAGAAGUUUCAAUCUACGAAGUUCAUCCGACAAUUCUUCAAGAAUUUUAAUGGGAGACUUCUCGAGAAAAAGAAGUUCAAGCCUCUUCAACUUUCCAAGGAAAGACGCGUCACUCACCUCACAUCGAAUCAAUUGCAGAACCUGGAGGUUGGUGAGGAUCUGAAGCGAUUUAAGUGAAAGAACUCCACCUAUUAUAGUGACAACUUUCAAUGCUGGCAUCCCUUCAAAAAAAUGUUCUGGAACUUGCAAUCGGUGGUCGUAUUCAGGAUUCUCCAAUCGCAAAAUAUGAAGGUUAGGGCAUACCAAACCACUAGGAAGCUCUUCUUUUUUAUUUCCCACCAAAGAAAUUCCUCUGUAUUGUUCCAGGCCUUCUUUCAUUGCCCGUUCAGCCAAUCCAAUGCCAACUUUACUAAAAAAUUUCUUCUCCUCUAGAACUAUUGAGCCUAUCCAUAUGGCUACAUCACGAACUAUGUCAUGCAUUUUCACAGAUCUGUCAUUACCAUUGUCUAACAGCAGUGACGCAGCUUUGAGCGCGUUAAUCGUUCCAUACAGUCGGCUUCUGGCGUUUUCUAUUGACGGAUCACAUUGAUACCAAAUAACCCCCACUGCGUAUCCAACCAAAUCCUCCAAAUAAAUCUCAUAAUCUUCUGGAAACAGAGAACACAACAAGAAGCAUAACUUGGACUCCUCACUAUUUAAAUUGUCGUAACUGAAUUUGAGACAACCGUAAACGUCUUGGUCAUCCUUGUCAAUACCUUCUAUUGCAUAGAGUUUUGCUUCCCUUAGGUUAUAUAGUGCUAGAUUCCAAUCAUCAAAUCCUUUUUCUAUUAGUGCACUUCCAACAGCUUCAAUAGCUAAAGGCAGCCCCUUACAUUCGUCAGCAACUUGUUCUGGAACACGAUCCAAGGAGGAGUCGUUUACAUUAAUACCGGCAUUCAUUUUUAGGAGAGUCAAUCCUUCUUCUGGCGUUAGUGUACUAAGUUGAAUCUGUGUGUCACAACCCAAAGAAUCACAAACUGACUUUUUGCGAGUGGUUAGAAGGAUUUUGCAACAAUUAUCUCUACCACCGACGGUAAUACCUAAUUUUUUCUCCAAGUCGAGCUCUUUCCAGACAUCAUCGAUGAUUAUGAGGAUCUUGGUGCUUUUACUGUCAGAAAACAUCGAGCGCAAUCGGUCUGCUCCAUGUUUUUCAUCUUUCUGUUUUAAUUCCCAACCUAAUGAAUUUGCCAGCUCGUUUUGAACAUUUAUUAUGCUUGGAUCCUGAGAUACAGUGGCUAUCCCCACCAUAUCGAAAAUGUUUUUUUCCCGAAGUUGAUUGCCCACAAAUUUUGCCAGGGUUGUCUUUCCUACACCACCGAGACCAUGCAAUCCCACCAUCUUUGUGCUCUCUUUUUUCAGUGCGUCAAUGAUCUGAUUGCAAGCUGAUUCUGUGGUCUCGAAAAUAGAAGUAAAAUGACUUGGCAAACUUAAUUCUCUUUCUAAUGGUAGAGGUUUAGGAAAGGCAACUGUGUUGAAUUGGCUGCAGUCUUGUAGCAGAUCAGACAACUUGCUAGUCUUCUGUGAUGCUUUUCUACCCAGCCAAUAUCGGCAACACCAAUUAGGACACAAUCCAUGAAGACUACUAUCCUUUUCAUCUAUCUCUGCUUGCAACUUCCAAACAUCGUCCAAUUCUUCGACUCCAUUAUUCAGCCACUCCAUUACAUUUCCAUUGACUACUAUGUCGGGGCAUUUUCGUAGCUCAUCGUAUAUUCUUGUUUUGAUGCCAUCUCGUGCCUUCUUCAACUUAGUUUCUUUAUCCUUAAGUUCUUUAACAAUGCUGUUGAAACAGAACAUAUAGCGAGCUUGGUCAAUUGCUGCAUUCACCAAUAAUUCUUCAACCUUUGAUUUUAAAGCUUCCAUGCUAUUUAUCUGCAAAUAACGAAGUUGAUCUCAGCACGCUAUUAGCAAAACAACAAGGCUUGAUCACUAGACAAAAUGAGAACGUUUAAUUACCUUUUUCUGUACUGUGAAUGCACGUCUAUUAACACCAGCUUUGACCAAUAAGAGCAAAAUGCAGAGGCCGGGGGGGGGGGCUUAAGAGUUUCAGUGGCCUUUAGCUGCAAAACGGAAGAUGACAAAUAAGGUAAACGUUCCCAGCAAACGUGAUUUACGGUGAAUUAUAUUCAAAUUAGAUUAUUUUAAAAGUUGGUAAAUUAUUUAUCACUCUAUCUUAAUGAUACCUUAUUUGGGAUGGUAAAGAUUGGGGGUAAACUCCCUUUUAUUCUCACAUGUUUAUAGUAUUUAUAUUUUUAUAAAUUACCUAAAACAUCCACGUCACUACUUUUAUGGCUAUUGAACAUAUCAUUUCAAAUAUAAAAUACUAUUUCGGUCUAAUAUAAAUUAAAAAUCAAACAAAUCUAUUGUGCAAUAAAUGAAAAGUAAAGAAUAUUAAUUAGGUUUUAAUGGAAACAAAUAUAAAACAUAGAGGUUUUGAGUAACUUUUGUGAUUUUUUUUUUAAUGUUCAAUUUAGAAUUGAAUAAUUUGCAUAAUGAAAUUUUGAGGUUUCUAUAAUUUAUAUGAAGAUAAACUGAAAAAUAAGUUUAUAUGCCGAAAUUAAAAUAGUUAUAUAUUAGCAAUCAUAUAAUUAUCAAAAAAAUUAAUAAAAUUUAUUUAAAAAUUGGCCAAUUGUGUUUCAUGAGGAAAACAGAGAGCAUAAUGGACUUAUGUUGGGUCUUGGGAUUGAAGGACUAAGGGCAAGGGGCUGGGAGGUAGGACGGUAGGAAAAUUAAUUUUUUUUUUUUUUUAAAGUAUGGUCAACAUUAGUGACUUGGAGGUGAUUGCCGUUAAUCAAUUACCUUUAACUUAAGAAUUAAUACAAAUAAAUGGCAAAAAUAAUUUAAUGAAAAUUAAUUUAAUAAAAAAUUGCACUAAAAACUUAGAACUCAAAUUCUCGAUCAUUUUAUCCGUACGUUUUAAUCCGACGCUCAGAAUUGGCAUAAAACAAACUAAUAUAGCCAUUGGAAGUAAAACAAACAUCAAAUCAAGAGCCUAUGAAACGAUAAUAUCUCGUACCUUCUUCCUUAUAGAUCCUCAAUUGCUGCUGAAAGCUGCAUAUGACAAUAUAAAUAAACAUGAGAUCAAAACAUCAUAGGAUAUAUCUAACCAAUUAACAUCAUAUAUAACUCCUUGUUCUCAGUCAAAUCUUUCAUUCUUAGAUUAAAAAAAAAAGAAAUAAUAACUGUUAAGUGAUAUAGGAAGCAAAAGUAACACACCGAAAUGAAAGCAGCAAGUUCACAAAUGACAGAUGCGGUGACUUCAAGAGCAUGAAAAAUGAUUAAACUUUGGUAGAAAGGUCUGAGCCGUGUUUCACAAGUUGCUAUUGACUUCGUGGCUUCGCUUUUAUUUAUUAUUAUUAUUAUUUUUUUAAAUUCUAUAUCAGUGAGAAUUGAAAUGUGGAAAGUGUAAUGAUACACAUGCCUUAUCAUCUAUCAUGAGGGGUGAUUUGGUAAAACCGAUUUAAAAUAAAAAAAAGUUUAAAAAAAUUGAAAAAAGAUGCUUUGUGUCUGACUGCCUGUAUUUGGGGUAUUUUUCGGGUUGUUGAGAGUCAGUUUAAUUAAAUAUAAGAUUUUCAUUUUUCUUAUUAUAUUUUUCUCUUUAGAAUGAAUUUAAAUCUCAUUCUUAUUAAAUCCAUUUUUUUAAAUGAAAGUAGAUUUCUCUCCACACAUUUGAGAUAUAUUUUAAAAUUAAUGUUCAGCAUAUCUCUAAAUUAUAUUAUAAAUAUUUUUAUUUAAAAUCUCAACAAAUUUCAUAACACACAGAGAGAAAUACAUAUAUAUGUUGUAAUGUUUUAAUGAUGGAUCUCUAAAGUUGUCAAGUUAAAAAAUAAAUAAAAAAAUAAAAAAUACACACUUCAACUUAUUAUAUGAUAAAAUAUAGUAUAUUAAAGUGAGUAUUUUUUGUGUGAAAUAAAAUUAAAGUGAGUACUAUUACCACCUCACAUCUUAUAAAUUCUAGAAAAUAAUCAAGGCUUGACAUACUUUUAUUUAUGCAAAAGCAUAAGAAAAUAAUUCAAAGUAAUAAUUAGUGUACUAUUCCUCAAAAUUCUAGAAUAGAUUUGUUAGUUCUCUUUAUCUAUAGAUUGGUCCAUGAUUGGCAUCGCAAUAGCUCAGAAUCGCCUCAACGAUUGUUCCACACGGUCCAAGUCUUCUUAGCAAUAGUUUUAGAGAAAGUGUUUAGUAGUUCCAAGUCUUCUUUUUUUAACACAAAUGUUGGCAUGAUAUUCUUAAUAUAUUUUUAAAAUCAAAAUAAGAUGCAUAGAGGACAAUAAUUUUAUUUGAUAAUUGAUUUUUUUGCAAAGAAAGUUUGAACAUGAGAGUGAUGAGAGAUGAGAAUAUUGAUGAUGGUGUGUACUUUAGAUGGAAAAAUAGAUUGGAAAUAUAUAUAGACAUAUUAAAAGAAAAAAAUUUGGUCUAUUUCAUAAGAGAAACAAAAAAUUAUAAACGCAGGUGUUAAAAUGUAUUCAGAAUUUAUAAAUUUUUAUAAAUAUGAUAAUCAUUAGACCCUUAUAAAAGUAUAGCAAAAAGUUUAAAAUUUUUUAAUAAAUGUCGAAGAGAUGGACGAAGAAACCAUCCACCAGUUCAGAAUUAAUAAUCAAAGAUAUGAGGAUUCGAUCGAAGAAAUGGUGAAAAAUAAAAGGUCACGGGAUUGGUUAGUGGGACCCUAACAUUAAUGGUAAAAAAUAAAAGGACACUGGGUUGCUAUCAAUUUUUACAGUGUAGGUUCAUAGCCGGGGAAGUAAUUGGGCACAAAUAUCUCGGAUGAGAAAUAUCCAUUUUAUCCCGCAACUUUAUGUUUAUGGCCUCUAAAAAUUUUCACCUCUUUCACUUCUGGAACCCGUGCUUUCUGGCACAUGCACAAUACUUGGUUGCUACUUAUAAAGCGUUUUUACAAUUGCAACGACAUGGUGCUCUUUGAUAAUUCAAAAAUCCAAUAUAAUUUAUAGAGAAUUACAGAAUUGUGGUACGUGAUAAUUUGCUGACGCAAUGAGGCGCCUAAAUUCUUAUACAUGGGAUUUAAGUUAAAUAUGUAUAAUUAUGUAAUUAGAAAAUACUAGUUGGGGGUAUUUGUGUCCAUGAAAAUUUACAGCUGGUUGUUGACAUUACACUGCGGGUGUGUAAGUGUAAUCAUGGAUCUGACCAUUCAAAUUAAAAAAUGGGGGUCCCACUAACUUACGGAGUUAGUAAUUAUUACAUAUGCAGAUAUUCUCCCAUACGAUAACCUUAUCAUAAAUUUAAAGGAUACGAGGACUUGAUUGAAGAAAUGAAUGAAUAUUUGAAUUAAAAAAAAUUUAUAAUAAAGACAAGUAUUAAUUUACUAUGAAUGUAACUUACAUAUGCUGUAAGUUAGCGGGACACUAUUGAAUCACAAGCAAAAAACAAUCUGUCUUCUUCUUGAUUCCGUAAUUUGGCUGUCAAAAUGUAAUCUAUAAAGAUUACGAUACCUCGAUUCAAAAAAAUAUUUUUUUUUCUUAUGAAAUAAAUGAAAACUGAACACCAUUCAAUUAACCGUUUAUUUCCCCUUAAAUUUUUAAUCUCAAUGAAACAUAGAUCUAAUGGGAACUACACAUAUAUAAAAAUACUAUAGAUUGAAGAAGUUGAAUUUUUCUUGUGUGUUAAGUAUUUUUGGUUAAUACGAAAGGAUUCUAGCAAGUUAAUACAAAAGUAUCAUAAAUUCACUGUAGUACAAGAUUUUUUUUUUUUUCCUUUGAUGUUAAGAGUUUUGGAGAUUAAAAAAAAAAGAUGAAAGAAGAAGAUGAGAGAAGAAAAAAUAUUAAGAAUAGUUUUGGCAUUUUGAUGCGUUUUAUAGAGUAAAAUUUAUAUUUUAUAGUAUAAAAUGGUACACCCAAAAUUUAAUGAUAAAAUUUUAGGAAAAAAUUGCACUCGUCAAAAAAAAAAAAGAGGCUCAGCUUAGCCCAAAAUUUUUUUAUUAAUCGUCUAGUCACAAAUGUAAUCUCUUUUUUAUGAGAUUCUUUGGCGUUUUAAUUUAGUCCAUUGUUAGCAAUCCUAAUAGCUUUUAUGUGCACCUAUUUUUAUGUGAAAUAUGUUUCAAGCUUGAAUAAAAUCUGCGGGACAACUGGUAAGUAAUAAAGCUCAUCAUUUUUUAUUUUGAAAAUAAAGGGAAUCACUUACACUUUAGCACGAUAUUAUUUUUGAUAAGUCAUUUUUUGGAUAGAUUAUUUUUUCUGACGGGUAAUUUUUAGGACCUCUCCUGAAAUUUGAUGUAUUAACACUUAGAUGAAAUGUAUCCAUAUAAUUACAUAUACCUCCCCUAUUGUUAAUAUAAAAAUAUGUAUAGCGUCAGAUAAAAGGGUAAAUAUGUAAAAAUAUAUUUAAAAUUAAAAAUAUUUACUUUUACCAAAUCAUUAAAAUUUUGACCCACUUGCCCGCUGUUGGCCCAACCUUGACCAGCCGGUCAUGGCUCCACCGGCGACUGGUGGUGGUGCUUUGCCACUGCCGGAGUCCUCUCCUCACACCUGCGACCAAUCCCAUUCACGGCAGCCUUUGAAUCAACUGCAUCAACCAACACACAUUAACACAAGUACACGGCUUUUUGAAGUCUCUUUUGUUUUGCGUUUUCCCUUCACUGAGAAAAUUUGUCAGCUAAUAUAAUAAGCUUUGUUGCCUUAGAUUUGAGAUUACAGAGUCCUGAGCAGAUGUUGUGGCUGUGAUGUGGGUUUUAUUGUAUUUGACUAAUAGGCAAAAUACCUUUUAUUGGCCUACAAGGACGGUGCCUUUUUCUUCUUGUUGGGGAACUUCGUGAAGAAUCCAGCUUGCUUUUUUCUUCCUUUUCUUUCUUCAUUUUAAUUCAUUUUUUAAUUUAUAAUAACUUUUUGAGAUUGAAUUAUCGGCUUCACAUGUAAACAAUGGCAUUUGGUAUGUCACAAGUGCAUAGUUAUUCUUAUUUUUUAAUUUAUUUUUUUCUGAUGUUUUUGUUGCUGGAAUUAAUUUCUCAAGGUUUUGGCAUCACUCCCCAUUGGAUUUGCUAUGUUCAUGGUACAAUUGGCCACAAUCCCAAUCACUCGCACUGGAAUUAACCCAGCAAGGAGUCUCGAAGCUGCUGUUAUUAACAAUAAGGACAAGGCUUGAGAUUGACCAAUGGCUCUUUUGGGUGGUGGUGCUUUGCCACUGCCGGAGUCCUCUCCUCACACCGGCGACCAACCCCAUUCAAAGCAGCCUUUGAAUCAACUGCGUCCACCAACACACGUUAAUCCAAGUAUGCUUUUGUCUCAUCAGAACCCCCACACCCCCGCUGCCCCUUUGGCAAUCGCCGACGCCACCCAAUAGCGGCUAACAUCACCCUUGAACCAUCCCGAUACCAUGCCGCAACCUCUAGCAUCCCAAAACCCAAACUGCACACAACUCUCAAAACCCUUGCUCGAGCUUGUCACGCCGCAUACCACUGCCGUAAUUUGUACCAACAGUGAUGGUUCCAUAUCGUCACUGUCCAUCCCCUCAACCAACCCCCCAUGCAACCCCGACCUCAAUAACAUCUCAACAACCACGAACGCACGAUUUCUUCAACCUGCACUUACGGCCACUUUUAAUGAAAUUCUCACUGCCAACGGAAUUCUCAAAGUUAUAUAUAAUAAUUUAUUAUUUCAGCAGCAAGGAUAGUUUAAUAAUUUUAAAUGUUUAUUAACGGUCAUCUUAAUUAGUAACUAACGGCAGGGGAGGUAUAUGUAAUUACAUAAAUACAUUCUAUCUAAGUAUUAAUAAACCAACCCUCACAGAAGGUCAUUAGAAAUUAUCCUUUUUCUGACAGGCUCUUAGAUUUGGGAAAAUAAAUUGUGUACUUUUAAUGAAGAAAAGUAAAAGAUCAAUAAAAUAUUUUGUUGUUUUCGACAAUUUUUGCGUUGUCAAGUGCGCCUGGUACCUUUUUUUUUUUUUUAACUUUUGAGUUGUUGUUUAAUUUGUAUUAUAAUUAAUUAUCAUGGACCCACGUGCCACUGUUUCCAUUUCAAGUUUCAUAAUUUAACAGUGGAAAUGGGUUCCACAGAUAAUUUAUUUUAUAAUUUUUUAAAAAAAUUAUCAAAAUGUAAUAAAUAAGGUAAUAAUAAUUAAUAAAAAGUAGAUUUUAAGAUGGAAAAAUCUUUUUGUGUACUUAAUAAAAAGAUGAUAAGAUUGGGAUGCUUUUGGUUUACAUUCUCAUAGCUAUUUCUACUGAAAAAUUACAUCAAAAUUUAAUUAAUAAAUCAGUGAACUGCAGACUUAUUAAAUUUAAGCAAUUUUAAUAAGUCAUAAAUAUACUAAGUUAAAAUAGUAGUAAACCCAUCGUUACACAAUUCUCUCCAUUGAAUGUUCACCACUUUAAGAUAAUCAUAAAAUGACACUGGAUGUGCUAUUAUCUGUUUCAUUAAAAGCCUUCACAAAAUAAAAGGCCGGUGAACAAAGUUGGUCAUAGAAAAAAGGAGCAUAGAGCACAUACAUCCAGUUUUUAUAUCCUCUGAUACUGAGUCGUCACAUGCUAAUGCUAUAGACUAUAUGAUAAUCUACUAAGGUGACGCAUGCCAAUGCUAUAGACUAGCUUUUCAAAGGUUGAAGUGGGUAUACUUUUAGUAAAAAGACCUGCAAAAUUAUAAUGUAUCUAUUUGACAUCAACUUUUUUUAUCUGCUGGAGCUUAUGAUUAUAGAAGAUCUUCGGUAAGAUGUGUUUGAUUUUAUCUUCUUUUAUAUAUCCUCCUCUAACUUGUGUAAUAGUAGUAAACCCCUGCCCGUUUUUAUUUCGUUUAGUAUUUUCUAAAUGGCCGAAGGAAAAUUGGUAAAAACUCAUUUAAAAAUAAAAAAAAAUCAAAGAAAUUCAAGAAGAAGCUUUCUAUCUGCCAUUUGUAUUUGGGGUAUUUUUUUGGUUGUUAAGUGAAUGAGCUUAAAUCUAAAACAUUUAUUUAUAUAUUUCUUGUUGGAAAGAAUUUAAAUUUUAUUCUUAUUAGACUUAUUCUCUUUAAACAAAGGUAGAUUUUUCUCUAUGUGUUUAACGUGUAUUUUAAAAUUAAUGUUCAACAUAUCUUUAGAUUCUAUUAUAAAUAUUCAUAUCUAAAAUCUCAACAGAUUUCAUAAUAUAUAAAGAGAGAGAAUAACGUUUCUAAUAAAAAAUUUAUUAAGUUAAAGAAUAAUUCAAAAGAUAAAAUAACACACUCCAAUAUAUUAUAUAAUAAAAUAUAUUGUAUUAAAAUAUAUAUUUUGUUUACUUUUUUUAAUAUAUCUCCUAAUAACUUAAGAAAUCAUUUAUUUAACUAUAUAUAUAUAGAGAGAGAGAGAGAAAAAUGUUCACGAGAAACCUUUAAAACUGCAUGGUUUUAAAUGUUUAAAAUGUAAGAACCGAUGAACAAUUUUUGACAAAGACGUUGCGACCUAAGUAGGGAUAGCAACUAAAUUCGGAUCCAACUCGGAUAUGUAAGGAUCCGAAAGAUCCAGAUCCAGAAAAUUUUUUAUCUGAAUAUUAAAAAAUGUUGAUCCGGAUAUAGAAAUUUGGGAUCUGCACGUAUUGGGAUGGAAGUACAUUCGGAAAAUUGGAUAACGAGAUCUAGAUAACUUUUGUUUCAAAUUAAAAAUAUAUAUUAAAAAUUAAAUGAAAAAUUAAAAAAGUAAAUUUCAUUUGUGGAUUUAUGAUGUUGUUGUAUAUUAUUCAUGUUGAAUUAUUAAUUGCUGGAUAUGAUUGAAUUUUUUUUGAAAUUAUUGGGUAAAUUUUUGAAUUUUAUUUUAAAUUAAAAAUAUUUAUUAAAAAUUAAAUAAAAAUAAAACAUUAAAUUUUAUUUGUAAAUUUAUGAGAUUAUUGUAUGUUAUUCAUUUUGAAUUAUUAAUUGUUGAAUUAUGAUUAAAUUUUAUUUGAUAUUAGUAGGUAAAUUAUUAAACUUUCAAAUUAUAUAUUAAAUUAUUUAAUUAUAAUUUUUACGGAUCCGAAUAUCUAGAAUAUCUGUUCGCAUCCGGAUCUACAUAUUUUUUUACGAAUCCAGAUAUAAAAAUAUGAAUGUGGAUCCAAAUUCGGAUUUUGCCAACCCUAAACCUAAGCAUGAAUGUGCCUAAAGUUUUUACUAAGAACAUGGAUCAUUCAAUGACACGACAUGUUUUGCAGCUCUCAUUAGUAUAAUUGAAUAAUUAAUUCAUCUCUAUAUUCAGCUUACACCGUCUCAAAUUGCAUGCAAAUACGAAAGUACACUUUUGAAUCGUUCACUUGAGGAAAAUUAGAUUCUCCACGUAGAAUUUAGAUUCAAAGCAUAGCAAAUUAGACAUAAUUCUAAUUUAUAUGGGAAAUAUAAUUAGCGAAGACACUCUUUAUAUAAACAUUAUUGUCAUAGGAUGCCAAACCUAAUAAGAUUCAAGAUCUUAACAUACUUCAUAUGAAAUUUGAUCUUGACGCGUACCGACACGCAUAACAUCAAGACUCUACUUCAUAUAAUGUAACUUCAUGGAUUUUUCGCUCUCUUGUGAAAUUGACAAUUAUGGGCGCUGUGUGGCAGUGGUACAUAAUAAAAUAAACAUUUAUUUUUAGAAUAUUAUUAUUUAUCUCAAUUUUUUAUUUAAUAGUUAAUUUUAAUCAAUUCUUAAACUGUCAUAAUCAAUUAAUUUUUUACAUUAUGGUAUCUUAAAUAAAUUUUGGAUCUGUAAUAAAUAAAAACUGGUAACGUUUGUUCUUUUAAAACAUAAAACAACCGUAACAUUGGUUUUUACAUUUUGAAUUUUUCUUGCAUCACUAUUUAGAAAAAUGAUGUUAAAUCAACUCACAAAAUAUAUCAAGUCAUCUAAAAUCCAAAUAUUAUUACAUUUGUAUUUGUAUUGUUAAAUUGUUGGAACGACGGCAAAGCAAUUGAAAAGAGAUUAACAAAAAAGUAAAGAUUGGCCAAGGAUUAUUCAUGUUUAGGAAAUGCCUUAACUUUUGAUAUAAUCAUUGUUAUAAUUAUAUUGUAGAAAUAAUCAAUUACCUGUGUUUAUGUUGGUCUCCUUUUUUUCCAUUUCUGUACAACGAAAUAUUUGCAUGUUUUGAUAGAAAUUGGUUUAAAUGACAUUUAAAAUUGUAUAUCCCCAGACAAUUAACGAAAUAUUUGGAUGGUAGGAUGAAGUAAUAAAUAGUUUUACAAAUUACCAUAUUAGAGGUAAAAAAAAAUAAAAUCGAGAGGUUACUUGACAAUUAUGACGUUACUAACUACAAAUUUAACACAAAAAGUUUAAUUAACUUUUCUUUUUGAGAUGACAAAAUCUCUGGUGUUGAAAACAAUGAGGUUUGAGGUUCAAGCUUGAAUAUUAAGUUACAAUUAGUAGAUGGUCUUAGGACAUAUCAAAGAUUUCUUUAAAGACAAAAUAAUUAUUAUAAGCAAUAGGAAAUUAUGGUAUUCAGAACAUGUAACCUUCGCACAUGAAGCUUGAAUCCAGAACAAGAUGCAGCUAGCCAAUCCUUCCAACUUCCAAAAACCCACAAAAUCUCUGUCAACAUGUCUGUUCUACUUCAAUAAUAAGCACAUUCAUAGCGGUAUCAACAGCUUACAGCGCCAAAAUAUUUUCCCCAAAAAGAGUGAGAGAUUUCACUGAAGCUAAGUUGUGACUUGUGACUGCCCAAAUGUUCUAUAACACGAUAUGAUUAUUCUAGUAACAUCAACAUUUGCAUCCUUCUGUAUCUGUCUGAGCUCCUGAAGCAUGAUACCCGGUUGCCCAGCAAAAGAUGCAGCUAUCACAAUGAAUAAGGGAACAAAAUAGAUAACAAAGUCACAAAAACAAAGCUAAUCACAAUGAAUGAUAAGGUUUAGAGUAAACAUAAAGUUAUAAUCUUGAACAUAAGUGGCGCUCUUGAGGAAAAAAAAAAUUCAUUCUAACACAACAGAAUAAAUUGUAAAGAAAUCCCAGUUUGUAUAAAAGAAAGAAAACAAAAUUAAGGAAAACAUAAGCACAACAAAAUUUGACUGAUUAUUAAAAAUGAGAAAUGAGUUAUAAUGAGAAUUUUGGCUUUGUGGUGAAAUAAAUUGGGAAGUAUCCAAAGUUCGCAUGUAAAUAAUAUAAAUGAUAAGAAGACGAAGGGAACAAAAUGAUAAUAAGCAAGCCAAAUAUUAAAAUGCAGAUUCUACGCUUCCGCCCCCCCAUACUUCAAGUUAGUGUCUCGCUAAUCAUUUUAGAUGUAUCAAUUACAAAGGGAGGCCAUCUAUUUAUGGUAAGCGUACGCCUCUAAUGCUUUGCCAAGUGUCCAUUGAUAAUAUCACAAGGGCAAUUAAAUUGGUGUAUGUGUAUUACACCUCCUAAAGUCAUGUUAAGAUAGUUAGUGAGCUGAUAAAGUUUGUUGCACGUGUGAGUUGGUUAAGUCUGCUAGAAAUGCAAACGUGUAAAGCUGAGUCAGCAAGUUAGUUAACGUUAUUAUGAAUGCUUAGAUUCAGCCCACGUGUAUUGUAUGUAAUACUUAGAUUCAGGUCACGUAGAUUGUGUAUACAACUUUCUAAUAUGAGUAAUGAUACAGCCACAAACUCUUGUACAAACUUAUUUUAUACAAACUGACGUGAUAUUUAAUUCAAACUGAUGUGGGCCAAGUGAUAUUUAAUUCAACCAAUCUUAUCAUGCCACAUCAGUUUGUACAAAAUAAAUUUGUACAAGAGUUUGUGGCUGUAUCAUUACUCUUCUAAUAUUAUUUAGAUCUCAAUAUAAAUACUUGUAAUCAACAAAUACAAUAAUAAGAGUCAUCAUUCUUCAUUUUCUCUCUGUUUCUCUCAUAUUUUCUCUGCAUCCAAACACAAUAUUCUCAGUUCUUGACUGGUAUUAGAGUCGCAGUUUAAUUGUCCUGGCUUCGUUAAGCACAAAUUCAAACACAAAUCAGUCUCCUUCAUUCUUUACCCUCACAAAUGCGAUCAAAUUGGACAGAUCUUACUAUACGAUCUGGAAAUCUCAGAUCCUCUCUUCAGUGUGUGCCAAUGGACUUGAAGGCUUUCUUAAUGGAACUAAAAUUUGUCCAGAUCAGUUACUUACUCAAGAGAUUGAAAGUUAUGGUGUUGAAAAUGUUGUUGGUGAAAGCUCAGCUGAUAGAUCUCAGGAGAAUCCAGCCUUUGUUGCUUGGAAGAGGUAGGAUCAAUUGUUAUUAAGUUGGCUCAUGUCCUCCAUCAGUGUUGAGAUACUUAAGUCUUGUGGUAAAUUCUGAUUCUUCUCAUAAACUUUGGACUAAUCUUGAAGAAAAUUUUUGGAUUAGAAAAUAUGGCUAAGAAAGCACACUUAAAAAAUGAUGUUAAGCAAUCUCAAAAAGGGAUCAAUGACAAUAACUGAGUAUUUUGCCAAACUUAGAGCUGUAACUAAUAAACUUGCUCUAACUGGUAGACCUGUUUCUACUCUAGACUUUAUUACUCAUCUAAUCUCUAGAUUAGGCCAGCCAUACUACCCUGUUGUUGUGUAUAUUGAAGCUAAUAUGUUGAAAAUAUUUGUCAAUGAAGCCUAUUCUAUGCUUUUAACUCAUGAAGCAAGAAUUAAAUUUAAUCAUCCGAGUGCAAAUAAAGAAGCAAAGUUGAAUUAUGCUGCUAACAUAGCUUUGGCUGGACCUAGUAAUAACAAUAAGAAGUCUAGUAAUCAAGCUAAUUACUAUCAGGGCAACCAAGGUAACUGGAAUAGAAAUGCUAAUUGGUGUGGUAACAAUGGAGGAAGAGGUGGCUUUGGCAGAGGUUUUUCAGGGCAAGGAAGGAGUAAUUAGAAUAAUGGUGGUCAUUGGAACAACGAACCUUGGAGUAGUAGUCGAGCAGGUUAUAAUUGUUCUGAUAUAAACAUUAUGACAUGGUUGUUGGUGAACCUGUAAACAUAACCACAAAAGUAAGAAGGCAUAAUCUUUUUAUAAGAAACUCAAAAAUGUAUUAAUGAUGAAAAUUUUAAAACAGAUAGCUGACCAGCUGUUCACUAAGAAAACAAAAAACUGAAUAUUUGUGCUAUAAAAAGGCACACCCAAUCUCACCCCUAUAAAAGGCUAGAAUCAGCUACAAAUCCCUAUCUCAAAACCCCAUCCCAGUUUAGAUGAAUGAAGAAAAAAGAUGAAUCUUGAAACUCCUUAGAAACUGAAGCCCAAAGUGAAGCAAGAAGAUGAACUCUAUCCCAAGCAAGCAAUAUGGCAUAUUUCUCCAUUAAUGGUUCAAAUAAAGUGAAUGGCUUUCUCUGAUGAAUGGGAAAUUGUCAAGAUCAAUAGUCAAACUCACGCAAAGUAAACGGACUUAAUUCUCAGAGGCUACUCAUUCUAAGUCUUAAAGAAAAAUUUUCUAAUUUCUAAAGAUUAUAUGGGGAAAAAUCAUUAUUUUCUAACAUGGAAAAUUUGAUACGCUGUUUAAUGUCUGAUCACAAUCAUAAUAUGAGUACUAACAAAAACAUCUUUAAUCGGCAUGGUGCGAGUAAAACACCAUCACUUCAUCUUUGAUGGAAAGAUGAUAACAUAAAGAGAUGGUGAAAUGGUUUUGGUCCUUGGCAGCUUGUAAUCAAAAGAAAACAAAAAUCUACACUAUUAUUAAUGAUUACCGAAGCUACAGAAGUAUCAAAAUCGGAAAGUAAACAAUUGCAAAACACAUCAAUGACUGAAGGUUAGGUUCUAAAACUUCCGUAUUUAAUUUUCAAAGCAUGUUAUGUAUUAUUCAGAAAUAUGCUUUCACUUCAGGCACUUGACCAAGACGCAUUAAACAAAAAACGUGGCGUUUUCAUGGACUAGUACAUUCCAUGCUUCGAAAGUUUAUGUUUUAGACUGAUUCGUUUGAUACAUUAUUUGUUUAUUGCGUUUUUCUUGCUUUAAAUAUUAUGUUGGAUUGAUAAGUUUUGUACACAUUUAUAUUGCUCGCAGUAAAUAAUUUAUGACAUUUAAAAAACUAGCAACCGUCUAUCAAAAGAUUUCUACUAUAAAUAUAUAUACACAAAAAACUUUUAAUUUGGUCAAUUUGUUCUCUUAUUUAUUUUUGUUCUAUUUCUCUUUUCCUUUCCUUUCAUUUUAUUGUUUUAUGGUACAAAAUAAAAAAAUAACCUUAAAAUUUAGGGCAAAGCUAUGGUACCACAAUUGUAUGGUACCACAGCUGGAUCCAACCAUUGGAUCUAUCCCACAGUUGUCACCAGAAUUAGAUCCAAAGGCUGGAUCCAGCUGUGGUACCAUACAACUGUGGCACCAUAGUUAGACCCUAAAAUUUAAGGGUAAAAUACUCAUUUUACUAAAAUUCCGUUUAAUAUUAUAAAGCUGUCAAAUGUCAAUGGCAUAGUACACGAGUGAUACAAAUUAAAAACAAUAAAUGGCACCCCGGCUUUCGCAGCGUACUCAAGUGCAGCCACCACUCCAGAAUCUGGUACUGCAAUCACGACAUCACUCAACAGGAGCCUCGGUAGCAAGUACUUCCCCAAAAUGAUACCUCGACUCACAAACAUGUUGAAAAGUCAUGCACAUGACAUUCAAAUUCAAAAAUGCAUGCAAAAUUUCAAAUGGCUACCAAACAUUUGAAGAAAAAAAUGAAAAGUUGGCAAAUUUGUCAAAUUUGAGAAAUGGACACCAUUGACUAUUGGCUUAGGUUAGGUGGAAUAGUAAAGGGGUUGGUGCAAUAGUGCUAUUAUUUUUCCUAUAAAUAGAUGGCACUUAUUCCAUUCUUAAGCAUCCCAAAAUUGUUAAGCUUAUAAGUUUCUAAGAUUUUAAGAGAAGUGAGAGAAGUGUGUCUGUGGAAUUUAUCUUUCCUGCAGAGUGUGAGAGUACUGGGUAUAUUUAGGUUUUUGGGAAGUGAGAUUCGUUACUCAAAUAUUGUACUCUAUUAAUUGUUAAAUAAACAAUUAUUCUUUCUUACCUCCGUGGAUGUAGGUUUAAUUACCAAACUACGUAAUUCUUGUGUCCUUUAUUUUUUUGUAAUUAUUUGGUGCGCUUGAUUCCGCAUUCCGCGCACAACAAGUGGUAUCAGAGCCGACGGUUCGUACUUGGGGAGAUACGGUACUGUUCACGUAUACGGUAUUAUUCCCGUAUACAGUACUAUUCACGAAUACGGCGGAGACGGCCAUUUGUACUUGGGAGACAGUCUAUUAUAAGUAGUGUGUAUUUUUGCAUGUCUAGGAAAGUUUUGUCAACAAAGGCGAUAAGAGUCUAAGGAUUCUGGUUUUUAAUUGGGACCGAGUUCCCGUCCAGUCUCCUGAAAACUUUCCUGGUGCAUUUAUUCACGUGAAAUUAACAUUAUAGAGACUGUUUUUCAAGUGGAAAUAGUUCGUUGAGAAAAUGGUAGAAGGUGAAACUUCCAGAAUUGGGGAGAGAUCUACCGAGACUAUUUCAGGAGACACUUCAGGUGGGAGGCGAGAUUUGUCAAAUCGCUAUUCAGCACCUGUUAUAGGAGGCUAGAAGACCGAUGUUGAAAAGUUUGAUAGGAAAAUCAACUUCGGCAUGUGGAGGCGCGAAGUUAUGGAUGCCCUUAUUCAAAUUGAUCUCGGUGUUGUGUUGUUGAGAAAGAUCGAUACCAAAGAUAAUCCAUCAGAUAUAUUGAUGAAGGUAGUUUCUGGAGUUAAGUUUCAACAUUACUUGAAAUUAAUUCAAAUCCUUCAAUUGUAUUAAGAUAUGUCCUUCGGGAAUUAUGAACUACGGUUGGCUUGAUCCCAAAUUUUGGGUACGUAGGCAGUCGAAUCGACACAGCCAUUCUGGAUCCUUAUUGAAGGAUCACUUUGGGGAUGAGGGUUCAUUGGUAGUUGGCUCAGAUUUGGACAAAUUUUCGUCGAGGUGGAGAAUUGUUGAAAAGUCAUGCACGUGACUUUCAAAUUCAAAAAUGCAUGCAAAAUUUCAAAUUGCUACCAAACAUUUGAAGAAAAAAUGGAAAGUUGGCAAAUUUGUCAAAUUUGCCAAAUGGACACCAUUGACUAUUGGCUUAGGUUAGGUGGAAUAGUAAAGGGGUUGGUGCAAUAGUGCCAUUAUUUUCCCUAUAAAUAGAUGGCACUUCUUCCAUUCUUAAGCAUCCCAAAAUUGUUAAGCUUAUAAGUUUCUAAACUUUUAAGAGAAGUGAGAGAAGUGUGUCUGUGGAAUUUAUCUUUUCUGCAGAGUGUGAGAGUACUGGGUAUAUUUGGGUUUCUGAGAAGUGAGAUUCGUUACUCAAAUAUUGUACUCUAUUAAUUGUUAAAUAAACAAUUAUUCUUUUUUACCUCCGUGGAUGUAGGUUUAAUUACCGAACCACGUAAUUCUUGUGUCCUUUAUUUUUCUGUAAUUAUUUAGUGCGCUUGAUUCCGCAUUCCGCGCACAACAAAACAAACCUUCCAAAAACAACAGAAUUAGGCAAAGCAAAAUAAAUAUGCUCAAAGAUGCACUGCUUAGGUUCAGGGUGAGGCAUCAAACAAGGUGAUUGAACCCCAUCUUUAUCCACCAUCAAAACUUCACCGGGAUAUACCUCUCUCUCUCUCGCUCUCGUAUGUGGCCUCAAUCAAAUAGUGCACAAGUCUCUGACGCAAAAACCAGAGCACCAUUACUCCUACCCAUCACCAAUGGCAUAAACCCAUACGGGUCACGAACCGCAACAAGCUUAUCCUCAGUAACAAACACCAUUGAAUAAGCACCCUCAAGCUUCUCACAAACAUCCAUAAUCCUCAAAAAGAACGGCCUAGCUUUCGAUAUCGGAAUCAAAUGGAGAACAACCACAGUAUCAGAACUAGUAUUGAAAAUGGAUCCAUUAUCUUCGAGCUUAGCCCUCAAAGUAUUAUAAUUAACUAAUGUGCAACACCAACAGAACCAAACCUGUACCCAGCAACAAAAGGCUGCACAUUCUUAAGCAUAGAACUACCCGCAGUCGAAUAUCUAACGUGACCAAUGGCCAUAUCACCCGGCAUUUGAUCAAGUUUAGACUGAUUAAACACAUCAGACACUAAACCAACACCAGUAAUAGACUGAAGAACUUUGUUAUUCACAGCAACUAUACCUGCACCUUCUUGGCCGCGAUGCUGCAUCGCGUGUAGCGCCAAAUAGCACAAACGCGAGGCCUCUGGGUCACCAUAGAUGCCCACAACACCACACUCCUCACGGGGCUUAUCGUCGUCAUCAUCAUCAAAACUGCCAAAACCGUCAUCUGGGUAUUCUUUAUUUGUGGUGAAAAACUCAGAGAUGGGGUUUUUUUGAUAGAACAGUGAAGUUAUUUUUGUGGGUUAAAGAUUGUUGUUUCUGAGGAAAAAAGGGGUUUUUUGCGGGGUUUUGGAGAAAAGAGAAAGAUGGGUUUUUUGCGACGGCUUAGGGUUAGCAGAGGGAGAUGGGUUUGAGAGAAGGCAGAUGUUGGCGGUGCCUGUUGUGGUGGCUGCCAUUAAUGGCUGAAUUUAUUUUAUUUUAUUUGUUUUGGGUUGCCUUGCUCAAAGAAAAAACAUAGGAGGUGUGUGGAGGGAGACAGUGGCGAAGGGUACUUUAAGUAGAGGGGAACUUGUUCUAGGUUUUUUUCUGGAAUUGUGAGGGAAUCUGAUCCUGGGUUUGUGCAUAUGAUUCAAUUACUUAUAGGUGAUACUGUUGUGUCACCACAAAUUCUAAUUGGGAAGCUUCAGUUGUCAAAUUUUUUUCCAAGGGUUAAUUAGGUAGAACUUUCAUGUCGUCGAUUUUAUUUGGAGAUUCUAAAAGUAGUUUCCAAAAUCAACAAUGUGACACAGAUGCUUUAGAUUUUUUCCCUUGUGGGACAUGAAAAUUGAUGCAUGUUCCAACGCAUUGCUCUAUCAGAAUUGGAAUUAAACUUAGGUGCCGUUUGUUUUUUUGUCUGAAAUCUGAAUAGACUUGAAUUAGUCUGAAUUCUGAAUAGGUCUAAAUGUCUGAAUCCGAAUAAUAUGUUUGUUUUUUCGUCUGAAUCUCGAAAAAUAAGUAUUAAGUUGUUUUUUUUUUUUCAACUUAAAAAGCUGAAAAUAUGUACUUUUACAUUUGUAUCCUUAUUAAAUUUGAAUGUCAAAUAAAUAAUAUAUUAAAUACCACAAUAUUUUAAUAUUUAUAAAUAAAACUAUAUUCAAGUGAAUACAUAAUUAUUUUAGAAUUUUAAUAUAUAAAAUACCAUAAAUUUCAAAUUUUAUCGUAUAUAAUAUAAGAAAGAAAAAACAUGGAUAUUUUUAUAUGGGGUAAAUAUCUAUAGGUAAGUUUUGGGAUAAACAUGAAAAAUAAAUUAUAAAACAGAGAUAUUUUUGACAUUAGCAAGUAAUUGACUUAAUUCAGAUUUCUCCAUUAAGUAAAAAGCCAAAAAAAUUAGCUUAUUUUAUUAAGUCAAAAUUAUCUAAAAAGUCUCAUUAAGUUAUAAAAACAAACACCUCUAAUUAACUUAAUUAAUUAAAUUAAGUCACUGUAAGUCAUUAAGUUAAACAACAAACGCCACCUUAGUUUGUAUUCUCCUAUUCCGAAAGCAAAACUUAUAAGUGAUAUUCUAAGAAGAAGAAAUUAAGAACCAUAACAAAUUUGAUGAUUCUAAUUUGCUAGAAAUAUUGCAAUCCCAAACUAAGAAAGUUCAAACCAAUUAUUUGAAGAAAAAAGUAGGACGGAAGCUCCCAAAAUAUUGUUAUGUGUUGUAUGUUUUAGUUUGUGUUUCCCAAUCAAUAAGGAAAAGUAAGUACACAUGUAACAAAAAUUUAAUAAAAAAGAUUGGAGGUGACAAAACCGUCAAUCUUCUAAUUAACUUUCUCUCCUUUCGAAUUUCCUCGAGUUUGGUAGAGACUGCUUAAGUGGUAUAUCUAUUAUAAACACCUGAAGUCAAAGUUAAUAUUUUAAUUGUUAAGAAAAGUUAGAAAAAGAAAUUUUUGUAUAAGAGAAUUGAGUUUAAAUUUAGAAUUCCUUGGGAGGAAAUGAGUCUAAAUUCCAAUAAUAUAAUUAAACACUAUUUAUAUAUAUCAUUAGUUGGGUGAAAAUUUAAUUUCCAUCCUUUGAUGUGAAAAACUCUCUUGAUCAUCUAUUUUCAUAUGAUGGUAAUUUUUUGUUUAAAGUGAAGUUAUUGGCACCCUUUCAUUAUGCUUAUAAAAUCCUACUUCAAAUAAAAUUACACUUAAAGACAAUAGAAUUAAAUAAUAUAAUUUUUUCUUUAAAACAAAUUACUCAUCUAAUUUUUUAUAGGUUGCUUUGUAUCAAAUUAAAAAAAUUUUUUACAAAUUUAAAAUAAUCUAUUUUUUUUUCAAAUUUCUUAUUGAUUAAAUAUUUGUGUGCUUAAGAUAGCUUUAAAAUUAUAAGAUAAAAUAUAUAUAAUUUAAGCCAAUGAUUAACAUUAAAAAAUUUAUCUCUCAUAAAAGUUUUUAAUUUGUGCGUAGGGUAAUAAUAAAAUUGCAAAAGAAAUGAAAAAUAGCAAAACACUAUUUUGAGUUUAAACAAUAAAAAAAUUAAAUGAAAAAUUAGAAAUGUAUUUGAAAAAGGAUAUUUUUUGAAAAUAAAAUAAAUAUAAUUUAAAAAGAAAGAGUUUCACGAGGGGUGCAAUAGUUCAACUCUUUUGUUUAUAAGUUUUAAUGUGUUGGUAUCCUUAGCUUAGCUUUUCCCUAAUUAUUAUAUUAAAAUGUAACAACAAUGAUGAUCAACCCUAAUUUCAUGGAGGUCAAAGAUUUUGGUCAUGCCGCAUUAAUUAGUUCGGUCAUACUUUCUACAAAUUUAUUUACAUUUAAUAAUUUGCCCAAGACUAGGUAAGGCGCCGCCUGGAGUCAUAGAAUUUUAUAUGUCAAAAGUGCGUUUCACUUCAAUUAAGCUAUAAAUGUCGUUUAAUAUGCUCAUUUUGUAUUUUUUUUUAAAAAGUUUUAUUAAUUUUUAAAAAAAUAUUAUUUAUUUAUUUAUUUAUUUUUUUAAAGGUAAAGAAGUGGAUAAAGUUCAAAUUUAAUUUUUAUCCCUUACGUCAUGACCCUUAAGAUUUGAACUUAGGUAACCAAACGUAUAAUAAUAAUAUCUCAAAUUUCAUUUCAAAUGAUAUGCAAUAUAUUAAGUGAUUGUUAAUUUUUAUAAGAUCCGAGUGAAUGAAUUGUAUUAUCUCACUAAUUAAUUAAUGAGUGUCAUAUCAUUUAUGAUAACUUUUGUAUAAAAAAAAUUGCAUGGAUGAAAUAUCCUUUUGAGAAUUUAAUGGUUUAUCUCAUUUAUGAUUUAUUGUUGCAUUUAAUGAUAUUGCAAAUAAUUUUCUGAUAAUAUUAUUGUUUUGACGAGUAAGUUUGGAGUAAAUAAUACAUAUGGCAAGUGUGAGGUUUGUUAUUGCAUUUAUUUUGUGGAUCUAUUUAAAAGCCAAAAAAAGGCAUUUCGAUUCAUUAUGAUUCCAGAUAAUUUCAAGCCAUGUCAUUAUUGGGAUAAAAAUAAAGUAAAAUGGUUAAAACUAUUUUUAUGUAAUUUAUAAAAAUUAAUGAAGCAACUACAAAAUUUUUUUAAACGAAAAACAAUUGAAAUGUGUGUGGAAAAAGAAGAAAAAAAAUAAGGCAUUUAAAUAUCUUCUUAAAAAAUACGAUUGAUUAAAAUUAUUUUAACAGAAUGCUCUUCCAAAUACAAUUCCACAUUUUUUUUUAUUGCAGUGGGAUAUUCCAAAAUUGGCACAACUCAUUAAGAAUUCGACAACUCAAAUUUUAUUUAUCACUCUAUGCAUUUGACAAAUUAAAAAGAAAAAAAAUUCAUAUAUCUUCUGUUCAAAAGAAACCUUGGUAAAUAUUGUAAAACAAAUUACCAAUUUUUUUAAAUUUAUGCCAUUAAAUCGUCGCUAUUUUCUCGCCCACUUUCUUAAAAUAGAAUCGAUAUUUAUUGAUGGGUUGGGUUCGAGAGUAAGCACCAAUUCAGCAAAAUGGUUUUAUAGCAGAAAAAGCACUUGUAAGACAUUCAGAACACAUUUUUCAAUUUUGUCUUUUGAAAAUGAGUCUUGAGUUUCCGCAAGCCAAGAAGAAUGGCUAAAAAAUGUAUGGUAUCAAAAGAAAGAGAAACACACACACACAUUUUAUGUAAGAUACCGUAAAAGCCAAAUACAACCUUUUUGAUUCUCAGCAAUAACUUUUUUUUUUCCUUUUAAAAAAAGGAAGCCAUAUAAAUAAUGCUUUAAACAUUAUUUGCAACAAGGAACAAUUAUUUCAUGCUUUCAGGUAUUAGAAACUUUCCAAAACUGCUAGCAAGAAAGUGAAAUGUAACUUUACGUAGUCACAAAAUAUGUAUUGCUGUUAGCCCAAUUGUUAUGAAGUGGCUUCUGCAUCAGAAGAUUCCAGCUCCCACCAAGCAUUGUUAUCUCUCUUCUGAAUACAAUCUGCAUCGCUGGGCAUGAGUUAUAUCAUUAAUGUCUGCAUCCUCACUUACAUCAUCCCAAUCAAGUGCUUUUUCUCCAUAUCUGGAUUAUAAGUCCACUCCAAUCUCUUCAAAACAUCCUAGUCCUUCCAUCACAACUGCUACAACUUCCUUCCUAAUUACUUACCCAUUAAUAAAUCGCUCCAAGAAAAAAAAGCUUAGCAAUUCUCUUCAACGCCCCAUCACUCAUAUCCCCUACAACAACCAUCUUCAGACAAAAUCCGAAUCAUCCGACACAACCACCAAACACCCAAACCUUCUUUUGUCCACCAUAUAAAUCCUCAACAAAACAUCGGCAUCUUGUGGCUUAUCUAACACCAUUCUGACCCAAAAUCAUGCUUUUUUUAACUCAUCUGCAAAACCAUAACCCACUUUUGGAGUCAAAAUUGCGCUUGCAGCCAUUUUAUAUUUUUCCAUCUUUAUUGAAUAGCUGCCAACCAAAAGCACUCUCACCUUCCCUCUAGCUGAUCCUAUUUGAUUCGACCUUUUCUUUUGUUCACCCUCAUGAAUUUGCUUAAAAUGAUUAAAAAGCUUGUCAUUGUUAUAAAAUCUCCUUCCACAAUCACCAAUACAUACGGCUUAGCAGGCCUAAUUACACCCUUGAUUUCUAAUUGGUUAAACAAUUCUCUUUCUUUCUCUGCUCUCUUACAACUUGAGGCAUAUAACUAAACCCGUGGCUAUUAGCAUUUGCCACCAUGUAUUUAAGAAUCCCAAAUGAAGAUAUUGAUUUUUUUCAGUUUAAUUGCUGCUUCAAAACGGGGUACUAAAUUUGGAUUUUGUUAUCCAAAUACCAAAAAUUUCCCACAUUGUGUUGGACAGUUUUUGGUUCUAAAGUUGAUGACUGGUUUUACGAAUCAGGCUUCAAAUGAGAACUUCUAAACAAUAAGACAAAUGGGUUUUUGAGUUUCCAAUUUUGUAAACUUUGUUCUAUUGUUUAAGUUAUGAAAUCGCUGAAACAUCACUACAGCUACAGGUCUUUAUGUGUCAAAGAACUGCAGAAGCUGAUGAUCUAGCUGUAGUAGACUUCUAUUGCCCCUGUCGUUCUAGGAAGACAAACAAGUUCAGGAACUACUUCUGGACCAAACUCAUAAUAUUGCCACUGCUUUGUGCCAAUCUGAGAGGGAAAGCAUAUUGAAGUUCCUAAAUAAGGCACAUCAUGAUUUGACAGAAGUACCACUAUGAGGAACAAUUGAUUUCAGGAAAGCACUAAAAUAUGACAUAAUCUGCCCCUAAUGGUCUAAAGUAGUCAAGAAAUGAUAUCAACCAAGCAAAAACACAUAAACUAGUUGAGAUACAAAGUUAUUGUAAAAGUCAAUUUUGAUCACAAGUCCAUUAAAAUUAAAAGACAUUAGAAACUUAGAGAACAUUAUAAUUUAGGACUCAGCUAAGUUGCAGAUUCUGUAACUAACAGCUGUGUCCACAUUGGUCUUGCAUCAGCUGAGUUUGGGUUGCUUUUCCUCUCUCCUGCAACGCGUACGUGGAAGCGCCCCAUUUGCUGUGUUCUAUACCGAGUCGGUACCGUAACAAGCUCCUAUAAUUUAAGUUUGAUUACUGUAGACAAUAGUCUGCCUCUGCUCAAAAGCUAUGUUGCAAGAUAUAACAUCUUUGCAAUGUUAUACUUUCUAAAAGUAAUAAGAAAUGAAACCAAGGGGUAAAUCGAACACCAAAAGAAAUUUAGUCGGCCAACCACAUUAUGUUCCCACACAGUCCACUAAUUAAGUUAAUAAUUAAAAGGAAUCAAAAUCUAAGAAAUCUCAUCUUCAAGCAGAAUUAAUACAAACACACAGCGAUUGAAAAUCACAAAAUCAUAAAAAGAAGCUGACUUGAAAAGCUCAAAUAUACGUUCAUCAGCCUCUCAACUUAUAUCUAAGAACAAAUGCAGCUUGUGAAGACAUACAUAAUUGAAGCUGAUGAGCCAUAUUUAACAAAUGAUAAUCAAAACUUGUGUGAUUAAAAUUAUAAUUCAAUAAUCGAGCACAUAAAACAAGAAGUAACUAGUUGUAUAUAUACCAAACAACUUUCUGAAGUUAAGGCAUAAAACAACAACGUAGAACAAAUUAAUUAAAUAUACCAGCACCAAUACUCUUAUUAUUAUCCAAAUAUAGAAGACCAAUGUAUCAAACAAGGAAAAUGAAAUAUUGUUAAUAAAUAAAAAACGACUAGUGUCAAGAACUAAAGUAAUAAGUAAAACCCAUAAUCAGACACGACCACAUCAAAAUCUCUGAAAAUUGAGGUCUAAACAUUGAAAACAAUUAGACAUAUAUAACAGUCAAUCAAAACAAAGCCUCAAAAUAAUAAUGAACUACAAUAAGACAGAAACUAAAUUGUAAACAAGCGCAUACCCAAUAACAGUAAUCAAGUAACAAGUCAAAACCAGAAUCAAACGUAGAAUUUUGAAAUCCAUACGAACUCUAAUGUAUUAGAAUGAAAUAAUAAGGGCGAUCGAUAAACUAGACUCAAACAAAAACAUGCCCAGUUAAAAAACGAAGGUAAAUAAAUAAAAAUGGUAUAAAACUGCGAAAAAAAUUAAUGAAAUGAAGAGAAAAUCACAGGAAUCCUAUGAAGAGGAAGGUAAACAAAACCUUCGGGAGCCGAGAAGAUGCCUUUUUUGUUGACGUUUGUGCCUAUACAUGCAAUUUUUUUUUUUAAUUUUGAAGAAAGUAUUGGUUAAAUAUUGUCAGAACGAAAUAUUAAUAAUAGGGACUUGACUAGCUUACAGAAUCUGUAAGGUACAAACUGCAGCAUCAGCCGUUGGAUGUGGUUGGAUGUGGAGUGAGAAACUAAACAAUAGAAAAUCGGAUGGUGGGAUGACGGGAGAUGUUUGUUACAGAAUCUGUACUGUAGACAAGUCCUAAUAAUAGAUGCUGGCAAUUUCAACAAGGACAAUCUUCGAUUCAAAUGUACCCUUAUGAUAAAGAAAAAGCCAGCUUGGCUAAAUUUUGAGCACCACAUUAUAAGAUCUAGGUGUAUGUUUAACUAUGCAAAAUGAAAUAUCUAUUAAUUAUAAGUCCCUUGACCUCUGGAACCAGCCAACUGGUCUCUUUCCUACUAGACAACCUUCCAUCGAUCAGACUAAUAAUAUUUACUAAAUCAUGUUCUACAGUUAAUGAAGUUGGACCCAAGGCAAUUGUUAGCUUAAUGUCAUAGGCUGCUCAAAUUUCCUGUAAUUGGAGGAUAAUUAUGUGCACAUGAGUUCGCUUAGCAAAAGUCUGCCUAGGCGUGGAGUGCGCUUAAAAGUGGGAUGCACUUAGAAGUGGGAUGCACUUAGCAAAUCAUCCAAGCCCAACCCGAGAUCUAGAACUCUCUGCAUAUUAUAAAUAAGCUAAAAGUUUUUAUGUUUCUCCACGUAAGUCCCUAGGAUAUUUAUGGAAGUUGCUAGGAAGUUUCCUCCCCUAGAACUCUAAUACUUAUAAAUAGGAGUGGGCCGCCUCAUUUACCCACCAACCACACCACACACACAAACACUCCAGCACACAUACAAGCUCUCUAGCUUUUGUAAAAAGCUCUCUUGUAUAUUCUCUCUUUGUGAGUAAUAAAAUCAUAUUCAGCUAUAUUGCUCUACUUCUCUCUAGUAUUUUCCGCAAGUGUUCUUGCUUCGCUAGUUUGAGGAGUGGUCCAGGCUUGCUUAGCAACUUGUUUGCUACAAGGACAUCUUGGUCACAAAACAUGGACAUGCAAGGAAAAAAAAAUAUUGAUUCGUUCUAAAAAUAAUAUGCACUCUUCUCCAGUGAACCAAAAAAUUUAGGCUAAUGGUAGCAAGUGAAGGAAUUGUGAUUUCACAUGCAUUUUGUUGACAUGAAGGUAAAGAACUUUUUUAUAGUUUAUAUUGUUUAAUAUAAUAUUUGAAUUGCAAAAUAGGGGUACAAAAUAGAUACACGAAGGGAUAAAACUAAUCUGAUUAUGAUAAAUAAUGAAUUAUAAGAUUUAGGUUUAAUCAUAAAGACAUAAGUGGCACACAAAGUCACGAAUUGAUAUCAUCCACGAUGCAAGUUCAAACAACUGUAUAAUAAGUUGCCCCAAGCUAAACUAUUAAUCUAAUAACUAUUCCAGUCGAUGUGGGAUAAUUUUCCUAUCACCAUCUAUCACGUGCAAGCCGAAUUUGUUGCUUGGUUCUUACAUGUGGUAAGGUAAUAUGAAUCCACUUGUGCAUAAAUUUGGCUCCGAUAUUAUAUAGAAGCUUAUGACCCAAAAUUAUACUUAAAGGUUAUUUCAAGAUUUGAAGGUUGCCUCAAGCUAAUAUUAUUAUUAGCCUGGUAACCCUUUUUUUUUUGUUGAUAUGUGAUAUUUUCCCAAUAACUUUUAUUAAUCUUUAUGCUUAUGUUUUGUCAUUUAUCCCAAAAUAUAACAUUAACAAAAGUUCCAAAAUUUCCUUCAAGAGAUAUAUUUGAGACAAGUAAUUUGUGCAAUAACUUUGUGAAUUGAUGAGCAAAUUCAAAGAAAAGAAUAUAUGUGCCAAACGUAACGUUUAUUAUUGUGUUUAUUUGUAGAGCUAUUUAAAGCCUAAAAACAAAAAGCAUCAGUCUGCUAUUAUUUCAAAUAAGUUCAAGCCCUAUGUCAUUAUUGGUACAAAAAUGUAUUAGAAUGGUUAAAAACUAUUUUUAUUUAACUUGUAAACUUAGGAAAUUAUCAACUGUCCACCCUUAAAUUGCACUGUUAUAAAAAAUAUUACAAUAUUUUCAGAUUGUAUCAUUCAUCUACCAUAAAUUUACAAUCUGCAUCAUUUAUCCACCAAAUCAUUAACUUCGUUAAAAAGUGAUAGACGUCACAAGGGUAAUUUAGACAUUUAACACACAAAAAAAAUAAAAGAGAAAUUAUCUAAGCUUACCAUGUUAUCAAAAUUGCUACAAAAUUUUAAAUUUGUUCAAUUUUCCAAUCUAAGUUUAUGACCUCCAAGAUGUUACUUGCAGUUUGUAAUUAAUGAGUUCAUAAGGAUAAUUUAGACACUCAAUACGCAAAAUAAAAAAUAAAAUAAUGGCUUAAAACAUUAAAACAAAAAACUACAUUUUAUAAUUGAUAUUCAAUAAUACACAUAAAUUCUAUUUUUUUCUUAAUUAAAAAUAUUCUAAUUUAUUUUCUCAAUUUAUCAUCAUAAAUUUACAUUAAUAAACUAAAUCCACAAAUUACCCUAAACCCUAAUUCAUAAAUGCCCAAUCAAUCUAAUAGUUUAAUUCGAUUUCAUAAUUAAAAAAGCUAAAUUUAUUAUAUUAGUUAUGGUGUAAAGUCAAAAAUGCCCUUAAAUUCAAGGGUAAAAUAACAUUUUAUUUAAAUUCUAUAAAUUAUUCUAACAAUGUUAACAUAUUGGUGGACGGUUAAUAUAAGUUACAAACUUAAAAUAGAAAAUCAAAUAAAUUCAAAAUUUCAAACUAUUUUGGGCAAAUUUAGGACAUAUGGUUAAUAAUUUUCUCAUGUCUUUUUACAUUGGUUGGUAUAAGUUACAAACUUAAAAUAGAAAAUCAAAUAAAUUUAUAUUUUCAAACUAUUUAGGGCAAACUUAGGGUAUAUGGUUAAUAAUUUUUCUUUGUCUUUUUACGUUAAAUUGAGUUUCAAAGGUAAAAUGGUCAAUUUAUUAUAAUUAUGUUAAUGUUUUAGUGGAAGCAAACGAUAUAAUGGACGAAUGAUAUAAAUUGUAAAAUUAAGGUGCAUGAAUGAUACAACUUUAAAGUAUUGUAGUAAUUUUAAAAAUAGAACAAUUUAAGGGUGGAUUGGCAAUAAUUUAAACUUUAAUGAAGCAACUAAAAAACAUUUUUAACAAAAGAAAAAUAAUUGAAAUGCUUUAAGAAAAAUAAAAGAAAUUAAAUAUCUUUAUAAAAACAUAAUUGAGUAAAAUCAUUUUACAAAAUGCUCUUUCAAAUGCACAUUCCACAAGGCAGGGAGAACGGGUGGGUAACAAAAAUCUCACUUUUUAUGAGUUUAUAAAAUCUUACUUUCGCAGAAUCAAAAAAUAACCAAUACUAAUCACACAAAAAAUAAAAAUUAUUGUUGUCACGACAUUACGCACUUUCUUCGCUGUCUAGAAAUUAGAAAGCUAGAACAUUUUGAAGUUCCUCAAUACAAAAUGUGUGCUACUACUAAAUUGGCCCAAUUAAUGCCCAUCGAAAAGGCCAUCAAUUUAGCCGGCAAUUUUGUCAAAAUUUCAACAAUUGAAGAAAUAAUGAUCACAAACGGAACAGGUAAAUUUUGAAGUUGAAUAAAUCUUGAGAUACAUACAACAAAGCCUUGAAACUUUAUUCUUCACAAUUUGAGCACGCACUAAAUAUUAAACAAGUAUAGAACAAAGCUUAUUUUUAGCUUCUUGUGCGAACUGAAUACGCUGAAAUGUGUUUUUUUUUUUUUGGAUUUUUGGAAUUUUUUAAAAUCAUUUAUGUUCGCCGCCAUCUUUUUCUUCGCUGGCGUCUUCCUCUCUUGGCUGGCAUCUGCCUCGUCUGUAGUUUGCUGUGCCUAUAUAUCCAACCAAUAAAUUGGGCAUUAAAUACGAAUGAAUGAUGAAUAAAAUGAUAAAAAAAAAACAAACAGAGAAAAUUAUAAUAUAACACGUAUAUAUUGAAAGAGAAAUUUUGAUUUUAGGAUAGAUCAAUUAGCUAUCACAAACGAAAACAUGAACCAACUAUGUAUAGAGUCAAUUAAGUAAAGUUCUCAAGAGUUGACCUGUGCUCCUGAAUUCUUGGAAUCAUCUAUCUCCUUCUGAAUUUCCACGAAACUUGGGACAAUUAUUAACAUCUUCAUUGUAUGCAGAUGGAAAUGGGAUCUGAUAACCCGCAGGCCAAAAGUUGGCGAGCUUUGGUAAACCAAACAAUGUCAAGUUCCGAAGUUCAUUCAUAACAAUUUCAUUGUAAUCCGUGAUGUUUGCUCCAUCUUUAUGCCAGAAUACUUCUUCUAAUUCAUCAUUAGCUUCUAUCCAUAGGCCCUUCAGUUUUUGAAGACUUGGAGCUACGCUGAUAUGAAAUAGAUGCUUUAGCUUGGGGCAAUAAUGGACAGAGAUCCAUGUGAGUUUUGGGAAACAUACAGGUUGGAGAUGAUCCUCAUCCUCAUCCUCAUCGAUGAUUUGCUCUAAUUCCGAGCAAUAUAAAAUACGUAACUCCUCCAAUUGCAACAGAUUUCGAGCAAGUGUUGAUGAGAAGAGACGUCUCAGUGUAGUGCACCCGUCCACUCUUAAAUCGGUAAGACUUUGGAGGCUAAAAUUAUGAGUGGGACCUUCAUGAUAUAAUAAUACUUGCAGUUCUGGAAGGUUUUCCAACCACAACGACUUCAAACAUGGGAAUAGUUUGUUUUCUUGUUCCUCAGCGAUAAUAGCUUCCACUUGAAAUACCACAUAUACUCCAAGUUCUCCAAUACCCAAUGUUUCCAAAUUUUUAAAGCCAUGCUUCAACAGUGCUGGAAUCGUGUCACUCAAAUGGGAACAAUUGUCCACAUAUAGAUUUCGUAAUUUCUGAGACAAAUAAAUAAAUAACUUGAUGCAAUUAAAAUCUAUUAGCAGCUAGGAUUAUCACAUGAUAAGUGAUGAACACCGCAAAAAUAUCAUAAUACAUAUGUAAACUAAUAAAAUAAUUAAAAAGUAAUGGAUUAAAAAAAAUGAAAUUAGUUAAAAGAGAUCAUGUGAAGUGAUAUAAAUGUGACAUUAGAUUGUUUUAGAAAAAUUAUGGCUUGAUCAACUAUUUAAUUGAAUUUGAAUAAUAUUAUAUACACUUCAGAAGUAUUUGCAUCAAUUCUUUCUAAACUAAAAUGAGAUAUGAAUUUCAUUUGAAGAAUGGUUUUAGGCCCUAUAAUAAAGAAAUUUCCCUAAGAUAUCUGAGUAUUAUUAUUAUCAUUACCACAUCCACCACCACCAUCAUCAUCUCCAUAGGAUCAAAUAAUUAAUGGCUGAUCAUAAAAUUUAUUACUAAACUAUCAUUUUGAGUAAAAUUGAAUGAAAAGAAAAAACAUGAAUCCAAACAAACAUACCUCUUUGAGAUACUGCAAAUUGGCUUCAAGUUCAUUACUGUUGAUGGUCAAGUUGGGACAGUUAUGAAGGUUUAACUUUUCCAAUGCUGGCCAAAUUGAACAAUAAUUCUCUGAACAGAACUUGGUGAGUUCUGGGAGAUCUUCAAGUUUUAAUUUUCUCAACAAAGGGAGGGCGAGCAUCGUAUUUCCAUCUCCGACACUUAUUUCCCCUUCAUUAUGAUCAAACUUUGCUUCGACAAUAUAUUCCAGUCUCUCGCAUCCACUUACAUUGAGACUUUUAAGCUGCUCCAAACUUCUAGCUUGUGACAACGUGAAGAUAUAUGUCAACUUGUUGCACCUAUGCACAUUCAAUUUUGUAAGAGUUUGGAGACUAAUCACAUGUUGGGCGGGCGCCUUCCAUAUCCACUUCAGUUCUGGUAAGUCCCACAUAGAUAACUCUGCUAAUCUUGAGAGACUCUUUCCAUGCGGCGACUUAGAGGCUUCCAUUAUGCAUUCUAAAUCUUCGCAAUCGCAGACAUCAAGACAAGUCAACUCAUUUAAGCCCCUUUCAUCU
RNAcentral lists this long non-coding RNA (31333 nucleotides) under Citrus maxima (pomelo). Its description in RNAcentral is "long non-coding RNA (CMAX_LNC003382)". The record is from RNAcentral. Lineage: Eukaryota; Viridiplantae; Streptophyta; Magnoliopsida; Sapindales; Rutaceae.